ACCUAGUCUGAUAACAGUAAGUUAUCAGAACUUAUAUUAGUGUCACUAACAUUGGUAUAUAACCCCACUGCUAAAUUUGACUGAGUUAAA
Molecule: non-coding RNA, 90 nt
Filed under: Otolemur garnettii (small-eared galago)
Lineage: Eukaryota; Metazoa; Chordata; Mammalia; Primates; Galagidae
Source: RNAcentral